UACAGGGGGGGCAAGCGUUGUUCGGAAUUACUGGGCGUAAAGGGCUCGUAGGCGGCCAACUAAGUCCGACGUGAAAUCCCAAAGCUUAACUUUGGAACUGCGUCGGAUACUGGAUGGCUUGAAUUCGGGAGAGGGAUGCAGAAUUCCAGGUGUAGCGGUGAAAUGCGCAGAUAUCAGGAGGAACACCGGUGGCGAAGGCGGGUCUCUGGGCCGAUACUGACGCUGAGGAGCGAAAGCGUGGGGAGCGAACAGG
This 253-nucleotide ribosomal RNA is filed under the name uncultured bacterium. RNAcentral's name for it is "partial 16S ribosomal RNA". It matches the Rfam family "Bacterial small subunit ribosomal RNA", at positions 524 to 776 of the family's 1533-position model. The record is from RNAcentral.